AGAGUUUGAUCCUGGCUCAGGACGAACGCUAGCUACAGGCUUAACACAUGCAAGUCGAGGGGAAACGAUAUUGGAAGCUUGCUUCCGAUAGGCGUCGACCGGCGCACGGGUGAGUAACGCGUAUCCAACCUGCCCACCACUUGGGGAUAACCUUGCGAAAGUAAGACUAAUACCCAAUGAUAUCUCUAGAAGACAUCUGAAAGAGAUUAAAGAUUUAUCGGUGAUGGAUGGGGAUGCGUCUGAUUAGCUUGUUGGCGGGGUAACGGCCCACCAAGGCAACGAUCAGUAGGGGUUCUGAGAGGAAGGUCCCCCACAUUGGAACUGAGACACGGUCCAAACUCCUACGGGAGGCAGCAGUGAGGAAUAUUGGUCAAUGGACGAGAGUCUGAACCAGCCAAGUAGCGUGCAGGAAGACGGCCCUAUGGGUUGUAAACUGCUUUUAUAAGGGAAUAAAGUGAGAGUCGUGACUCUUUUUGCAUGUACCUUAUGAAUAAGGACCGGCUAAUUCCGUGCCAGCAGCCGCGGUAAUACGGAAGGUCCGGGCGUUAUCCGGAUUUAUUGGGUUUAAAGGGAGCGUAGGCCGGAGAUUAAGCGUGUUGUGAAAUGUAGACGCUCAACGUCUGCACUGCAGCGCGAACUGGUUUCCUUGAGUACGCACAAAGUGGGCGGAAUUCGUGGUGUAGCGGUGAAAUGCUUAGAUAUCACGAAGAACUCCGAUUGCGAAGGCAGCUCACUGGAGCGCAACUGACGCUGAAGCUCGAAAGUGCGGGUAUCGAACAGGAUUAGAUACCCUGGUAGUCCGCACGGUAAACGAUGGAUGCCCGCUGUUGGUCUGAAUAGGUCAGCGGCCAAGCGAAAGCAUUAAGCAUCCCACCUGGGGAGUACGCCGGCAACGGUGAAACUCAAAGGAAUUGACGGGGGCCCGCACGAGCAGUGGAGUAUGUGGUUUAAUUCGAAGCAACGCGAAGAACCUUACCAGGUCUUGACAUCGAGUGCAUAACUAAGAGAUUAGUGAAAUCCCUUCGGGGACACUUAGACAGGUGGUGCAUGGUUGUCGUCAGCUCGUGUCGUGAGAUGUUGGGUUAAGUCCCGCAACGAGCGCAACCCUUACCUUUAGUUGCUACGCAAGAGCACUCUAAAGGGACUGCCGUUGACAAAACGGAGGAAGGUGGGGAUGACGUCAAAUCACCAUGCCCCUUAUGACCUGGGCUACACACGUACUACAAUGGCAAUCAACAAAGAGAAGCAAGACAGUGAUGUGGAGCAAAUCUCAAAAAAUUGUCCCAGUUCAGAUUGUAGGCUGCAACUCGCCUACAUGAAGUCGGAAUUGCUAGUAAUCGCGGAUCAGAAUGCCGCGGUGAAUACGUUCCCGGGCCUUGUACACACCGCCCGUCACACCAUGGGAGUCGGUAACACCCGAAGUCGGUAGUCUAACAGCAAUGAGGACGCCGCCGAAGGUGGGAUUGAUGACCGGGGUGAAGUCGUAACAAGGUA
RNAcentral lists this ribosomal RNA (1494 nucleotides) under metagenome. RNAcentral describes it as "bacterial SSU rRNA". It matches the Rfam family "Bacterial small subunit ribosomal RNA". The record is from RNAcentral.